GGAACAUGUCCCAGAGUCACAUGGGAAGUUCUGACCCCAGCAGACAACAGAACACAGUGGAGUUCCUCAGGCACAGGUUCACCGACUGGGGCCCACACAUUCAAGUAUAUGAGCCUUUGAAGCCGUUCUUAUUCCAACCACCACACCCAGGACUCAAAGUCCCAGGCAGGAAUUGCAGUAAGACUUCAUAGACCAGCGCUUCUCUCAGCCCUCAUCAGAGAACACUUCCUGCAAUAGAGAGAACAAGAAAGAGAAGACAUGAAGCUGUGUGGACAGG
This 277-nucleotide small RNA is filed under the name Rattus norvegicus (Norway rat). RNAcentral describes it as "uncharacterized LOC102557471". The record is from RNAcentral. Lineage: Eukaryota; Metazoa; Chordata; Mammalia; Rodentia; Muridae.